GCCCUUAGAGUUUGAUCCUGGCUCAGAUUGAACGCUGGCGGCAUGCCUUACACAUGCAAGUCGAACGGUAACAGGUCUUCGGAUGCUGACGAGUGGCGAACGGGUGAGUAAUACAUCGGAACGUGCCCGAUCGUGGGGGAUAACGAGGCGAAAGCUUUGCUAAUACCGCAUACGAUCUACGGAUGAAAGCGGGGGAUCUUCGGACCUCGCGCGGACGGAGCGGCCGAUGGCAGAUUAGGUAGUUGGUGGGAUAAAAGCUUACCAAGCCGACGAUCUGUAGCUGGUCUGAGAGGAUGAUCAGCCACACUGGGACUGAGACACGGCCCAGACUCCUACGGGAGGCAGCAGUGGGGAAUUUUGGACAAUGGGCGAAAGCCUGAUCCAGCCAUGCCGCGUGCAGGAUGAAGGCCUUCGGGUUGUAAACUGCUUUUGUACGGAACGAAAAGCCUCUUUCUAAUAAAGAGGGGUCAUGACGGUACCGUAAGAAUAAGCACCGGCUAACUACGUGCCAGCAGCCGCGGUAAUACGUAGGGUGCAAGCGUUAAUCGGAAUUACUGGGCGUAAAGCGUGCGCAGGCGGUUUUGUAAGACAGAGG
This 595-nucleotide ribosomal RNA is filed under the name uncultured bacterium. RNAcentral's name for it is "bacterial SSU rRNA". It matches the Rfam family "Bacterial small subunit ribosomal RNA", at positions 1 to 594 of the family's 1533-position model. The record is from RNAcentral.